RNAcentral lists this ribosomal RNA (784 nucleotides) under Escherichia coli. Its description in RNAcentral is "partial 23S ribosomal RNA". It matches the Rfam family "Bacterial large subunit ribosomal RNA", at positions 2147 to 2925 of the family's 2925-position model. Lineage: Bacteria; Pseudomonadati; Pseudomonadota; Gammaproteobacteria; Enterobacterales; Enterobacteriaceae. The record is from RNAcentral.
GUGGGAGGCUUAGAAGUGUGGACGCCAGUCUGCAUGGAGCCGACCUUGAAAUACCACCCUUUAAUGUUUGAUGUUCUAACGUUGACCCGUGAUCCGGGUUGCGGACAGUGUCUGGUGGGUAGUUUGACUGGGGCGGUCUCCUCCUAAAGAGUAACGGAGGAGCACGAAGGUUGGCUAAUCCUGGUCGGACAUCAGGAGGUUAGUGCAAUGGCAUAAGCCAGCUUGACUGCGAGCGUGACGGCGCGAGCAGGUGCGAAAGCAGGUCAUAGUGAUCCGGUGGUUCUGAAUGGAAGGGCCAUCGCUCAACGGAUAAAAGGUACUCCGGGGAUAACAGGCUGAUACCGCCCAAGAGUUCAUAUCGACGGCGGUGUUUGGCACCUCGAUGUCGGCUCAUCACAUCCUGGGGCUGAAGUAGGUCCCAAGGGUAUGGCUGUUCGCCAUUUAAAGUGGUACGCGAGCUGGGUUUAGAACGUCGUGAGACAGUUCGGUCCCUAUCUGCCGUGGGCGCUGGAGAACUGAGGGGGGCUGCUCCUAGUACGAGAGGACCGGAGUGGACGCAUCACUGGUGUUCGGGUUGUCAUGCCAAUGGCACUGCCCGGUAGCUAAAUGCGGAAGAGAUAAGUGCUGAAAGCAUCUAAGCACGAAACUUGCCCCGAGAUGAGUUCUCCCUGACUCCCUGAGAGUCCUGAAGGAACGUUGAAGACGACGACGUUGAUAGGCCGGGUGUGUAAGCGCAGCGAUGCGUUGAGCUAACCGGUACUAAUGAACCGUGAGGCUUAACCUU